Long non-coding RNA from Myotis brandtii (Brandt's bat), 1569 nucleotides. RefSeq lists it as uncharacterized. The record is from RefSeq and is a predicted model, not a curated record. The transcript has 4 exons. Lineage: Eukaryota; Metazoa; Chordata; Mammalia; Chiroptera; Vespertilionidae.
CUUCUUGGACUCCACCUCCAGGACAGUCCUAUCUUUGGCCUCCCCUUCAAGGUCACUUCUUACUUAAAAGAGUAGUUUGCACUGGCUGCCUCCUGAGUCCUCACCUCCCACUCACUCUUUUUUUUUUUUUUUUUUUUACUUUAAUUUGGCUUCCAAGUCCAUCAAACCAAAGAGAUGUUUGUCAGUAAGUCACCAUUGAUUUCCUUGUUGCUCCUUUCAAUGGCCAUUUCUUGGUCCUUGUCGAAUCCGCAGCAUUCACAGCUCCAGGGGCUGGACCACCGGCGAUCACUGCCCUCAGAAAAACUGCUGGAGAGUCUGCCACACUCCUCUCCUCGCCCACUUUCCCGGAUCCUCUGUGAGUUCUCUUUCUCCAGCAAUUCCCCAAACGUUGGUCUUUCUCAAAGCCCAAUGUUCGACUUCUUCCUUCUUUCCAUCAGCAUUCUUUCCCUCGGCAAAUUCACCCACUUUCCUAGCACCCAUCCAUAAGGUGGCCACACGUCCCAGGUUGCCCCAAACGGUUCUGGUUUAGCCUAGUUUUCCCAGCAUAAUAGAUACCCUGUCCCCACCCCUCCACCCCACAUCCCAGUUUAGAUGCAAACAAAAUAUGUGGUCCCCUUAUCUAUUACCAUUCGUAUGCAGAUGGCUCCGACUGGAGGCCAUAAAGCAGUGAGGCUGAGGGGGUGGGCCCUGCAGCCAGCCCCCGGGGUUUCUAUCCGGCUCCACUAGUCACCAGCCUCUGGGCCCCUGGGCGGGUUAAGCACUUCAGAUUCCUCCUCCACAAAAUGGGAACUACCCUAGGGAUUUCUCAAGAGGCGAGGGUUAAAUGAACAGAUCUAAAAUCAUCAGCAUGAGGUCUGCCACGUUUUUAAGUGUUCAAUAAAUUUAGCUAGCCAGGACAUGUCUCCUGAGUUCCAGACAUACCCAGCAAAGUUCUUCAAUAAACCAAGCAGACUUUUUAUGAUAAUCUAUUCAGUAUAUGAAGUUCUUUUGCAAAUGACAUAGAAUGCCAGAGGAGUGUUGAACCUGUGAUUAGACUCCUUUCUCGGCUGUCCAUCAGAGUACCGGGUUGGAGAGAGAGCUCCGAGCCUGGGCUACAAGGCAGACAAGUUCACCUCUGGGUGCUGCUACGUUGGUGAGAGAGCCUCAGGGGAAAGGAUGCCAUUUCCGGUGGCAUCUGGGGCAAAUGACCGGAGUCAGCAUUUAUUCUCUCGCAUUAGGAAGCGGAAGCCUAAUGACCGAAGUUUUAGACAUUGGUAAAUAUGAAACACAAAUUGAUGGUGAAACUGAGGCUCCCAGAAAGCUUCACGGAGCAGUGCAGGGACUUGGAGCCCUUCUGACCAGUGUCAUCUUCCCUGCCCUCUCGGUGGGAGGCCAGACAGGGCCUACUGCCAUUACGUCAUUCUUAAAUUAUUUUGCUUAUUUUUAGAAGGCUUUUAAUGCACAUGGCACAAAACUUCAAAAGGUACAAGGGGUAUGAGCGAGAAGUACGCCCCCUUCCCUUUCUUGUUCCCUAAUCCCUCAUUUUUCCCUCUAGAACAGCGGUUCUCAACCUGUGGGUCGCGACCCCUU